RNAcentral lists this long non-coding RNA (379 nucleotides) under Ictidomys tridecemlineatus (thirteen-lined ground squirrel). Its description in RNAcentral is "lncRNA (ENSSTOG00000033702.1)". Lineage: Eukaryota; Metazoa; Chordata; Mammalia; Rodentia; Sciuridae. The record is from RNAcentral.
CCCGGGCUCCGGAGACCUGGCGUGGCGGAUAUUUGUCUGUGAUACGAUUGUAAUUUGGGCCCCUUUUGGCUGCAGUAAAUUGUCCUGUGUGCCCAGCGCCAGGCUGAAAUAGCCCGGCGCACGCGCCCCAGGAAAUGAGCUCAGGGCCGAGCCGCGGGCGGCGGGGAGCGCGCGGCGCCCGGCGGCCGCGUGGGAGGCGCGGCUAUUUUUUCAUUUGACCGACUUCAACAGAUUAGGGAUGCUCCACCUAUACCGUAUGGGCCAGGCACAGUUUUAGGUGCUGAGGAUACAACAGUGAACAAAACCGAGCAAGCCCCACCUCUGUGGCACUGAUAUUCUGGUAGGGGAGCAUGAUAAUGGACAAAUGAAUAUGUGGCAU